GGGUANUAAUUUAAAACCUAAAGAAUUUGGCGGUUUUUAAACUNACUAGAGGAACCUGUCCUGUAAUCGAUAGUCCACGAUUUUAUUUACCUAUCUUUGUAAUCAGCUUAUAUACCGCCGUUUAGUGAACUAAACUAAUAGUUUCUCUAAAUCAAUUAGUUGAAGAAAUCAGGUCAAGGUGUAGUUUAUAGAUAGGAAGAGAUGGGUUACAAUAAAACUUUACACGAAUGUUUAAUUUUAGGGUUAAAUUGAAGGUGGAUUUAGAAGUAAAUUUUAGUGAUUUGAAGAAAGCUCUUAGAAAUGUACACAU
Molecule: ribosomal RNA, 310 nt
Filed under: Streptocephalus papillatus
Lineage: Eukaryota; Metazoa; Arthropoda; Branchiopoda; Anostraca; Streptocephalidae
Description: partial 12S ribosomal RNA
Source: RNAcentral